AACGAACGCUGGCGGUAGGCCUAACACAUGCAAGUCGAGCGCCCAGCAAUGGGAGCGGCAGACGGGUGAGUAACGCGUGGGGAUGUGCCCAAUGGUGCGGAAUAACCCAGGGAAACUUGGAUUAAUACCGCAUGUGCCCUUCGGGGGAAAGAUUUAUCGCCAUUGGAUCAACCCGCGUCUGAUUAGCUAGUUGGUGAGGUAAAGGCUCACCAAGGCGACGAUCAGUAGCUGGUCUGAGAGGAUGAUCAGCCACACUGGGACUGAGACACGGCCCAGACUCCUACGGGAGGCAGCAGUGGGGAAUAUUGGACAAUGGGCGCAAGCCUGAUCCAGCCAUGCCGCGUGAGUGAUGAAGGCCUUAGGGUUGUAAAGCUCUUUCGCCGGUGAAGAUAAUGACGGUAACCGGAGAAGAAGCCCCGGCUAACUUCGUGCCAGCCGCCGCAGUAA
RNAcentral lists this ribosomal RNA (447 nucleotides) under uncultured bacterium. RNAcentral's name for it is "partial 16S ribosomal RNA". It matches the Rfam family "Bacterial small subunit ribosomal RNA", at positions 29 to 523 of the family's 1533-position model. The record is from RNAcentral.